This is a long non-coding RNA of Cucurbita maxima (winter squash), 308 nucleotides long. RefSeq lists it as uncharacterized. The transcript is spliced from 3 exons. Lineage: Eukaryota; Viridiplantae; Streptophyta; Magnoliopsida; Cucurbitales; Cucurbitaceae. The record is from RefSeq and is a predicted model, not a curated record.
CUCAUUUUCUUUCACUUUCCCGCUAUUUUAUCGCUCGUUUUCUUUCGCUGAGAUUUUGCUGCUGCAGUUAAGGUUCUUCAGCCGUACAACAAUGGAGACCGAAACUUCUUGCUUUCAUCAGCGCUUGCCGCUAACGUGCGCCGGAGGCAUUUGAGCCUCGCUGCUUUGCCUUAUGACCAUGGCCGAGUUGCUUGCUUAAUCUCAUGUGAAGCUACCGCUCUUUGUUCUUUCAACUUCGUUGACAAUCGUGUUUAUUUCUUCGACCCUGUCAGUUCACGAAAGAUGAGAUGAGAUUCAACAUUCACCAG